Molecule: long non-coding RNA, 920 nt
Organism: Phymastichus coffea
Lineage: Eukaryota; Metazoa; Arthropoda; Insecta; Hymenoptera; Eulophidae
Exons: 3
Source: RefSeq, a predicted model, not a curated record
UAGAGAACUAGUAUGGGAGGGGACGAGGGGAGAGUUUGCAUGGUUUGCCCCUAAUUUCGCUCUAUGCACAGAUACAUGCGCGCGCACACACUGAUUCACGCGUAACGAAAACUCACGCAGACAGACAAGCUCGCAGUCUGCUCUUGGGGCUAUAUACAUUUUUUUUCGAACAACCAACAGGACAGUAGCUCAAAAGUGAGCAGCAUCAUUGCUCUGGUGGACGGUGACUUAGUAGCAUCCCGGGCUGCUCUUGCCUACGCAUACGACAAGUGCCAACAACAGACAGAAGUGUUUGCUUGUUCAGUCCCCGUGUUCUGUUGGUGCCGAGCAGCACGCAGUGCCGCGCGCGCCUGCCUGUAAGAAAACCAGAAGGAGCACAACGCAAGUUGACGAGUAGUAGCAGCAGCAGCCACACGGAUGCGAGGGUAAACAUACACACACAUUUGUCCUCUUCAGAAUAAGUACCCUCGAGAACUCGUCGCUCAUCGCUGGCAAGGCCUCCUCGACGUCUAUUCCAAUCAAUUCCGUGCAAUGUAACGCGCAGCAACCUCGUCGUCCUCGUCGACGGCCUCGACCUCGCAACGUACACACUCGAUCGCCGCACAACGUAAAUGGUGAAUUUAAUUUGCCAGAGUGAGAAAGAGAAAUUCCACCUUGGAAUAUUUAACAUUCUGGCAGCUUGUAAUCUAUCGAUUGAAAAUUCCUUUGGAACAGAAUUUAAAACAGCAAAAUGUUGAAUCGCUGAUGUAUAAAUGUAGCUAACGUAGGUAAGUCUUCACAGAAGAAAAUUCCAGUUGUUGAAAUGGUGUUAUCAACAAAAAAUAUUAUGAAUCACUGCAUGAUUCAUUAUUGCUUAAUAUCUGACAAUUGCUGGGCAUAGGCUUAGCAGAAUAGAAAAAAGGACGGAAGGAGCAGCCAAG